Long non-coding RNA from Homo sapiens (human), 544 nucleotides. RefSeq lists it as uncharacterized. The record is from RefSeq and is a predicted model, not a curated record. The transcript is spliced from 3 exons. NCBI's taxonomy places the organism in Eukaryota, Metazoa, Chordata, Mammalia, Primates, Hominidae.
CAUGGGCUCACUGAUGGUGGUUAAUAUUAACAACCCGUAUUUCCAUAGAGGUUUGCGAUUAUCUCCUCAUCCCACCUCGAAUUCCGCCUGCAGAGCUGAGACGAUGGCCAUGAAUGCUGCCACAAUCCCACCUCACGUGUGCACCUCGUAGUCACUACUUUUCCUCCAGACAUUUUCUCAAGCCAGAAGAAUGAGCACAGCCCACAUCUGAAGCAGCCUGAGAGGCUGGGCCUGCAGGGGAGAUACCGGCCCUAUGGAAGGCAGUUGGUGGGCAAAAGUCCGGUUUCUACGCUUUGAGGGGACACCUGUGGGGCACCCUGAGGCCCAGCCCUGCUGGGUGAGUAUGGCCUGGCUGUGUGUCUUCACAGCUCCUAUCACGACUUCAAAUUAUCUUCCACAUUUGUCUCCAGGUGACUAAUUACUGAGCCUGCUGGCCUUUGGACUGGAGCUACACCAUCAGCUCUCGGAGGUCUCCACUCGCCAACUCACCCUGCAGAUCACGGAACUUGUCAGCCUCCAUAACUGCAGGAGCCAAUGCCUUAUA